GGCAAUGAACUUUGUAGAUUUUCACUAAAGGUGAGCAGUGGAAGGAAGAGCAUUCCAGGCACUAAGAAGAUUCAGACAGUCAUUACUGGAGAACAUUUUAACACUAUGUUUUGGGUUUUUUCUAUUUUGUUUGCUUCCCCCCUCUCUGUAUGUUCUAUCAUCCUUUGAUCUAGCAUAAUGAGUUACACUGUAUUAAAGGGGAAAAAAAGGGAAAAAAAAGUAUAAUAAAAAAAGUUCAGACCACCUGGGGGCAGUGAUUCCACUGGCAAAAGUGAUUGGCUGGGAACUAGACUGAGUGAUGGGAGAAGCAGGAAAGAGUAUAUUCAAUGAUGAGUUUGACGUGACAGGUCAGCUUUUGAUUGGUUGUGAAAACAGUAUGAAGAUCACCUAAGCUUCCAAACCAAAAGAAGCAGAAGAAUCCAGAACAGUGAACCAGGCUCAAUGAACAUUGUCAGUUCCAGGGCUCCAAACUGAAUGGUCAGAGACUCCAGGAAGAAGCAGGAAUGGAGAUUGCCCUACAAGCCUUGCUGAUGCUCCUGUGUGUGAAGCUAACCUGGUCAAAUGGACAGCGUCCAGUGGAACAGAGCCCUCCUUCCCUGACAGUCCAGGAAGGCGAGAGCUUCACAAUAAACUGCACUUACAAAGACAGUACUCUGGAUUUCUUCCAAUGGUUUAGGCAGGAUCCCACGGAAGGCAUCCACACUCUGAUACAUAUUCGAUCAAAUGAGAAAGAGAAGAUCAGAGGAAGAUUUACAGCCACGUCUAACAAAGGGGACAAGCACUUUUCUCUGCACUUGAAAGAUUCACUCCUCUACGACUCAGCCACCUUCCUGUGUGCAGUGGAUAGCACAGUGCUUCUCAGACGCCUGUGCCUUGCACCCAAACCCUGCUCAGCCCUGCGCCAACUUCUACAAGGGCUCCAGGGCGCUGAACUUAACUUUGAGCAAACACGAGGGACUUUUAAUAACGUGAUGUCAAAUAUUUCAUUUGAAGAUCUUGGGCAGAGGGAUAAUGUUUUCAAAUACCAUCUAAUGUAUUUUGUUUCUCAGUGUGAAGUCCUUACUCCAUUAAACCUAGUCCAAGAUCCUGAGGCUUAAUACCAGAAAGGGGAGAGCACUAAAGAACAAAGAGAGAACAGAAUAAAAUUCUCACCCUUGAGCUCUUUUGUAGACUUUUACAAAUACAUUGAAAAUACAAAAUCUUAAAAGCCAUGACCAUCAAAUUCAGUAGUGAAAGAAAAUAUAUUUUGACAUUCUGAAAAGGCUGGCUUAGAAGAUCAAGAACAAAAAGCUGAGGGAAAAUGGUAUAAAGUUUAUAAAGGACGAAGUGUAAAGAUAACACAGUAUGAUAGAAAGUCUGGUUCCUCCUGAAAAGUGGAGGCUAGCUGGUUAGGGAAGAGUCAAGGGGUAUAACCAGAAGUUACUAGCCAGAGGUCUUUCAAAGUCCCAAACAACUGCUCUUUCUAGGAUCAGAACCCUGAGCAGGUGAGUGGGAGGAGGACGAGUCACAUUUGGGGCAACGAUGAACUCAAGAAGCAGUGAGUGCAGGCACGGUGUUCUGGUCAUUGUGUCUCACAUCAAUAGCCACCACAAAGCAUUCACUACAAGGAGCUCAAUGGCCAUGUGGAAAAGAUGACCCAUUCAGAGGACAUCACCAG
Non-coding RNA from Herpailurus yagouaroundi (jaguarundi), 1657 nucleotides. The record is from the annotation of a RefSeq genome assembly. Lineage: Eukaryota; Metazoa; Chordata; Mammalia; Carnivora; Felidae.